RNAcentral lists this unclassified non-coding RNA (167 nucleotides) under uncultured fungus. Its description in RNAcentral is "partial contains 18S rRNA, ITS1, 5.8S rRNA, ITS2 and 28S rRNA". The record is from RNAcentral. Lineage: Eukaryota; Fungi.
AAGGAUCAUUACCGAGAGUCAUCUCUCCACCCUCGUGUGUACCGUCCUCUGUUUCUUCGGCGGGCCGGCCCGUUCCAGCCCGUCGGUCUCAACUCCGUCGUGGAACCUGCGGUCUGAGUUGGGCUUUCUAACGAACAAAACUUUCAACAACGGAUCUCUUGGCUCCG